UACGUAGGGGGCAAGCGUUGUCCGGAUUUAUUGGGCGUAAAGAGCUCGUAGGCGGCCUGUCGCGUCGGUUGUGAAAGCCCGGGGCUUAACCCCGGGUCUGCAGUCGAUACGGGCAGGCUAGAGUUCGGUAGGGGAGAUCGGAAUUCCUGGUGUAGCGGUGAAAUGCGCAGAUAUCAGGAGGAACACCGGUGGCGAAGGCGGAUCUCUGGGCCGAUACUGACGCUGAGGAGCGAAAGCGUGGGGAGCGAACAGG
RNAcentral lists this ribosomal RNA (253 nucleotides) under uncultured bacterium. RNAcentral describes it as "partial 16S ribosomal RNA". It matches the Rfam family "Bacterial small subunit ribosomal RNA", at positions 524 to 776 of the family's 1533-position model. The record is from RNAcentral.